GAUGAACGCUGGCGGCGUGCCUAAUACAUGCAAGUCGAGCGAACGGACGAGAAGCUUGCUUCUCUGAUGUUAGCGGCGGACGGGUGAGUAACACGUGGAUAACCUACCUAUAAGACUGGGAUAACUUCGGGAAACCGGAGCUAAUACCGGAUAAUAUUUUGAACCGCAUGGUUCAAAAGUGAAAGACGGUCUUGCUGUCACUUAUAGAUGGAUCCGCGCUGCAUUAGCUAGUUGGUAAGGUAACGGCUUACCAAGGCAACGAUGCAUAGCCGACCUGAGGGGGUGAUCGGCCACACUGGAACUGAGACACGGUCCAGACUCCUACGGGAGGCAGCAGUAGGGAAUCUUCCGCAAUGGGCGAAAGCCUGACGGAGCAACGCCGCGUGAGUGAUGAAGGUCUUCGGAUCGUAAAACUCUGUUAUUAGGGAAGAACAGAUGUGUAAGUUACUGUGCACAGCGUGACGGUACCUAAUCAGAAAGCCACGGCUAACUACGUG
Molecule: ribosomal RNA, 497 nt
Filed under: uncultured bacterium
Lineage: Bacteria
Description: partial 16S ribosomal RNA
Rfam family: Bacterial small subunit ribosomal RNA
Source: RNAcentral